GGUCAAGCGAACAAGUGCAUGUGGUGGAUGCCUUGGCGAUCACAGGCGAUGAAGGACGCGGUAGCCUGCGAAAAGCCCCGGGGAGCUGGCAAACAAGCUUUGAUCCGGGGAUGUCCGAAUGGGGAAACCCACUCCUUAUGGAGUAUCCAUGGCUGAAUACAUAGGCCAUGUGAAGCGAACGCGGUGAACUGAAACAUCUAAGUAACCGCAGGAAAAGAAAUCAACCGAGAUUCCCAAAGUAGUGGCGAGCGAAAUGGGAUGAGCCUUGUACUCUUUAUUUGUAUUGUUAGCCGAACGCUCUGGAAAGUGCGGCCAUAGCAGGUGAUAGCCCUGUAGGCGAAAACAGUAUGAAAGAACUAGGUGUACGACAAGUAGGGCGGGACACGUGAAAUCCUGUCUGAAGAUGGGGGGACCAUCCUCCAAGGCUAAAUACUCGUGAUCGACCGAUAGUGAACCAGUACCGUGAGGGAAAGGCGAAAAGAACCCCGGGAGGGGAGUGAAAUAGAUCCUGAAACCGCAUGCAUACAAACAGUCGGAGCCUCUUUAUGGGGUGACGGCGUACCUUUUGUAUAAUGGGUCAGCGACUUACGUUCAGUAGCAAGCUUAACCGUAUAGGGCAGGCGUAGCGAAAGCGAGUCCGAAUAGGGCGUUCAGUUGCUGGGCGUAGACCCGAAACCAGGUGAUCUAUCCAUGGCCAGGAUGAAGGUGCGGUAACACGUACUGGAGGUCCGAACCCACUAACGUUGAAAAGUUAGGGGAUGAGCUGUGGAUAGGGGUGAAAGGCUAAACAAACCUGGAAAUAGCUGGUUCUCUCCGAAAACUAUUUAGGUAGUGCCUCGUGUCUCACCUUCGGGGGUAGAGCACUGUCAUGGUUGGGGGGUCUAUUGCAGAUUACCCCGCCAUAGCAAACUCCGAAUACCGAAGAGUGCAAUCACGGGAGACAGACAUCGGGUGCUAACGUCCGGUGUCAAGAGGGAAACAACCCAGACCGCCAGCUAAGGUCCCCAAAUAUGGCUAAGUGGGAAACGAAGUGGGAAGGCUAAAACAGUCAGGAGGUUGGCUUAGAAGCAGCCACCCUUUAAAGAAAGCGUAAUAGCUCACUGAUCGAGUCGUCCUGCGCGGAAGAUGUAACGGGGCUAAGCCAUAUACCGAAGCUGCGGAUGCGUGCUUGCACGCAUGGUAGGAGAGCGUUCCGUAAGCCUGCGAAGGUGCCUUGUAAAGGGUGCUGGAGGUAUCGGAAGUGCGAAUGCUGACAUGAGUAGCGAUAAAGGGGGUGAAAGGCCCCCUCGCCGUAAGCCCAAGGUUUCCUACGCAACGUUCAUCGGCGUAGGGUGAGUCGGCCCCUAAGGCGAGGCAGAAAUGCGUAGCUGAUGGGAAGCAGGUCAAUAUUCCUGCACCGUCGUUAGAUGCGAUGGGGGGACGGAUCGCGGAAGGUUGUCCGGGUGUUGGACGUCCCGGUCGCUGCAUUGGAGAAGGCGCUUAGGCAAAUCCGGGCGCAGGAUUCAAGGGUGUGGCGCGAGCGACUUCGGUCGCGAAGCAAUUGGAAGUGGUUCCAAGAAAAGCCUCUAAGCUUCAGUCUAACGAUGACCGUACCGCAAACCGACACAGGUGGGCGAGAUGAGUAUUCUAAGGCGCUUGAGAGAACUCGGGAGAAGGAACUCGGCAAAUUGGUACCGUAACUUCGGGAUAAGGUACGCCCUUGUAGCUUGACCAGCCUGCGCUGGAAGGGUGAAGGGGUUGCAAUAAACUGGUGGCUGCGACUGUUUAAUAAAAACACAGCACUCUGCAAACACGAAAGUGGACGUAUAGGGUGUGACGCCUGCCCGGUGCCGGAAGAUUAAAUGAUGGGGUGCAAGCUCUUGAUUGAAGUCCCGGUAAACGGCGGCCGUAACUAUAACGGUCCUAAGGUAGCGAAAUUCCUUGUCGGGUAAGUUCCGACCUGCACGAAUGGCGUAACGAUGGCCACACUGUCUCCUCCCGAGACUCAGCGAAGUUGAAGUGUUUGUGAUGAUGCAAUCUACCCGCGGCUAGACGGAAAGACCCCAUGAACCUUUACUGUAGCUUUGCAUUGGACUUUGAACCGAUCUGUGUAGGAUAGGUGGGAGGCUAUGAAACCGGAACGCUAGUUUCGGUGGAGCCGUCCUUGAAAUACCACCCUGGUUUGUUUGAGGUUCUAACCUUGGUCCGUGAUCCGGAUCGGGGACAGUGCAUGGUAGGCAGUUUGACUGGGGCGGUCUCCUCCCAAAGGGUAACGGAGGAGUACGAAGGUACGCUAGGUACGGUCGGAAAUCGUGCUGAUAGUGCAAUGGCAUAAGCGUGCUUAACUGCGAGACCGACAAGUCGAGCAGGUGCGAAAGCAGGUCAUAGUGAUCCGGUGGUUCUGUAUGGAAGGGCCAUCGCUCAACGGAUAAAAGGUACUCUGGGGAUAACAGGCUGAUACCGCCCAAGAGUUCAUAUCGACGGCGGUGUUUGGCACCUCGAUGUCGGCUCAUCUCAUCCUGGGGCUGUAGCCGGUCCCAAGGGUAUGGCUGUUCGCCAUUUAAAGAGGUACGUGAGCUGGGUUUAAAACGUCGUGAGACAGUUUGGUCCCUAUCUGCCGUGGGCGUUGGAUAUUUGAAGGGGGCUGCUCCUAGUACGAGAGGACCGGAGUGGACGAACCUCUGGUGUACCGGUUGUGACGCCAGUCGCAUCGCCGGGUAGCUAUGUUCGGAAGAGAUAACCGCUGAAAGCAUCUAAGCGGGAAACUCGCCUUAAGAUGAGAUAUCCCUGGAGGCUUGACCUCCUUGAAGGGUCGUUCGAGACCAGGACGUUGAUAGGUCGGGUGUGUAAGCGCAGUAAUGCGUUCAGCUAACCGAUACUAAUUGCCCGUAAGGCUUGAUCCU
This 2882-nucleotide ribosomal RNA is filed under the name Burkholderia multivorans CF2. RNAcentral describes it as "bacterial LSU rRNA". It matches the Rfam family "Bacterial large subunit ribosomal RNA". Lineage: Bacteria; Pseudomonadati; Pseudomonadota; Betaproteobacteria; Burkholderiales; Burkholderiaceae. The record is from RNAcentral.